UACAGAGGGCUCAAGCGUUGUUCGGAUUCAUUGGGCGUAAAGGGUGCGUAGGUGGCGCCAUAAGUCAGGUGUGAAAUCUCGGGGCUCAACCCCGAAACUGCACUUGAUACUGUGGUGCUGGAGUACUGGAGAGGAGAUUGGAAUUUACGGUGUAGCAGUGAAAUGCGUAGAUAUCGUAAGGAAGACCAGUGGCGAAGGCGAAUCUCUGGACAGUUACUGACACUGAGGCACGAAGGCCAGGGGAGCAAACGGG
RNAcentral lists this ribosomal RNA (253 nucleotides) under uncultured bacterium. RNAcentral describes it as "partial 16S ribosomal RNA". It matches the Rfam family "Bacterial small subunit ribosomal RNA", at positions 524 to 776 of the family's 1533-position model. The record is from RNAcentral.